Molecule: long non-coding RNA, 354 nt
Filed under: Nicotiana benthamiana
Lineage: Eukaryota; Viridiplantae; Streptophyta; Magnoliopsida; Solanales; Solanaceae
Description: long non-coding RNA (NBEN_LNC024606)
Source: RNAcentral
GAGACCUCAACCAAAAGCAAACCCAUCCUAAAACAUCAUGCAAACCUGUUCCAAUCAUCACAAAACCUCAAACAACACCAAAAUCAUCCAAUUACAUCGAAUUCAAGCCUAAGUUCUUCUAAAACUUCCACAAAACGCAUUUGAUCAAACACCCAACCAAAUCACCUCCGAAUGACCUGAAAUUUUACACACACAUACCAAAACACAUAACCAAGCUACAGAAACUCCAUGAAUUCCAUUCCGACCCUCGAAUCAAAAUCACCUAUCAACCGGAAUUCGCCAAAAUACUAACUUUGCCAAUUCAAGCCUAAUUCUACACGAGACCUCCAAAACCAAACCGAUCAUGCUCCUAAG